CCUAACUUGGAAUGCUCCGCGGAAACUUUACUUGCGAAAAUCUAUCACGCUCAAACUUCUUCUUCUUCCCCCUCAACAUAAUCGUUCGUGAAGCAAUUUACGGUGAAACCAUUUUACAAAGUUUCCAAUUUAGGGUUAGUGAUUUUGCAAGAGCUUCUUUAAGCUUGCUCUUCUCUACGUUGUUCUUCAAUCGGUUGCUUUCAUUUAAGGCAAGUUUUGGAUUCAUAUCCAUUUUGAUUACCUAUUUUUGAUUUGUAUAAUAUUUUAUUAUGAUUUUUUUGUUCAUAGAUUUUAGGUGGAACAAAUUUUUCAGAGAUUACAAAUUUGAGCACGCAGAGGCAUCCAUUCAAUGCCAAGUCUAAAUGCUGCAGAAGUAUUUGCUACUUUACUAGAGAAAGGCCAAAGUCGUGUCAUAGAUGCUUCACUUACUCUUAUUUGAGAAAGAGCAAAGAUUAAGGCAUUCCAUAUUUGUGUUUAUUUAGUUUUGUGACCCAUAAUUUAAUAUUUUAUUUUGGUGAUUUUGAUUAUAAGAUUUGCAUGAAAGAAUAUAAAUGCAUAAGCUAUUUUUCUCUAGGGAGAACUUGUGCGUGCUUUGGGAGGUGCUAAAGCAACUUCAACUCUUCCUGGAGUUCCUUUGGGACAUAAUUUAUCUUUCCUUCAAGGUCCUACAUUUGCCCUGCCUCGCAUUAGCGAGGCCAUUUGGCGUGAUAGUACAAACUCAACUACUGAAGAAG
Non-coding RNA from Cajanus cajan (pigeon pea), 734 nucleotides. Lineage: Eukaryota; Viridiplantae; Streptophyta; Magnoliopsida; Fabales; Fabaceae. The record is from RefSeq and is a predicted model, not a curated record.